GGCCCCUUCAUCUAGCGGUUAGGAUUCCAGGUUUUCAUCCUGGCCACAGGAGUUCGAGUCUCCUAGGGGUCACCA
This 75-nucleotide transfer RNA is filed under the name Nitratifractor salsuginis DSM 16511. RNAcentral's name for it is "tRNA-Glu (TTC) (tRNA-Glu-TTC-1-1)". It matches the Rfam family "tRNA". Rfam says of the family: Transfer RNA (tRNA) molecules are approximately 80 nucleotides in length. Their secondary structure includes four short double-helical elements and three loops (D, anti-codon, and T loops). Further hydrogen bonds mediate the characteristic L-shaped molecular structure. tRNAs have two regions of fundamental functional importance: the anti-codon, which is responsible for specific mRNA codon recognition, and the 3' end, to which the tRNAs corresponding amino acid is attached (by aminoacyl-tRNA synthetases). tRNAs cope with the degeneracy of the genetic code in two manners: having more than one tRNA (with a specific anti-codon) for a particular amino acid; and 'wobble' base-pairing, i.e. permitting non-standard base-pairing at the 3rd anti-codon position. The record is from RNAcentral. Lineage: Bacteria; Pseudomonadati; Campylobacterota; Epsilonproteobacteria; Campylobacterales; Sulfurovaceae. RNAcentral also lists the same sequence under 1 other name.